CAGUCGCCGCGGGAAUACGAAGGGUGCAAGCGUUAAUCGGAAUUACUGGGCGUAAGCGUGCGUAGGCGGUUUGUUAAGUCUGUUGUGAAAUCCCCGGGCUCAACCUGGGAAUGGCAAUGGAUACUGGCAAGCUAGAGUGUGCCAGAGGAUGGUGGAAUUCCCGGUGUAGCGGUGAAAUGCGUAGAGAUCGGGAGGAACAUCAGUGGCGAAGGCGGCCAUCUGGGACAACACUGACGCUGAGGCACGAAAGCGUGGGGAGCAAACAGGAUUAGAUACCCCCGUAGUCCCUGUCUCUUAUACA
Molecule: ribosomal RNA, 301 nt
Filed under: uncultured bacterium
Lineage: Bacteria
Description: partial 16S ribosomal RNA
Rfam family: Bacterial small subunit ribosomal RNA
Source: RNAcentral